This is a long non-coding RNA of Gigantopelta aegis, 394 nucleotides long. RefSeq lists it as uncharacterized. The transcript is spliced from 2 exons. NCBI's taxonomy places the organism in Eukaryota, Metazoa, Mollusca, Gastropoda, Neomphalida, Peltospiridae. The record is from RefSeq and is a predicted model, not a curated record.
UACUACGUACGUUCUUCUGACUAUUGUUUUAACUUCAGAAAUGUGCGAACUGAAUCGCCGUUUGUCAUUUAAUAAUCAUAUUUAACUUAAAUGUGUAUAAAUGUAAAAUAUCUGUGCAUAGAUCUAAUACUACCUAUGACUACCGUGCUGUUCUGUUGCAGUGUUUUCUACAAGUGUCGAUUCGAUAGAUCAAUAGAGGUAGCCUACCGUACAUGAUCUAGAAUUAAGUAUCUGCAACGAUCACCAGUAAGAAGAACUCAAAACAUGUUUCGGCAGAAUUGUUUAAAUAUAUAAUUGACUUUUAUAUUAUAUUGAUUUUUUCCCCUUUGUCGUGUGUGUUCUGUUGUAAGAACUAAUGUGUUUAAGUGGAGAUAAUAAAAUAUAAACAUGUGUU